UAGGGAAUAUUGGACAAUGGAGGAAACUCUGAUCCAGCCAUGCCGCGUGAUAGAUGAAGGCCCUCUGGGUUGUAAAUAUCUUUUAUCUGGGAAGAAACAAUCUUAUUCUUAAGAUCUUGACGGUACCAGAGGAAUAAGCACCGGCUAACUCCGUGCCAGCAGCCGCGGUAAUACGGAGGGUGCAAGCGUUAUCCGGAUUCACUGGGUUUAAAGGGUGCGUAGGCGGGCUGAUAAGUCAGUGGUGAAAGCUCCGAGCUUAACUUGGAAACUGCCAUUGAUACUGCCAGUCUUGAAUGUCGUAGAGGUAAGCGGAAUGUUGCAUGUAGCGGUGAAAUGCUUAGAUAUGUUACAGAACACCAAUUGCGAAGGCAGCUUACUAUGCGAUGAUUGACGCUGAGGCACGAAAGCGUGGGGAGCAAACAGG
This 424-nucleotide ribosomal RNA is filed under the name uncultured bacterium. Its description in RNAcentral is "bacterial SSU rRNA". It matches the Rfam family "Bacterial small subunit ribosomal RNA", at positions 355 to 776 of the family's 1533-position model. The record is from RNAcentral. RNAcentral also lists the same sequence under 1 other name.